Molecule: ribosomal RNA, 449 nt
Filed under: uncultured bacterium
Lineage: Bacteria
Description: bacterial SSU rRNA
Rfam family: Bacterial small subunit ribosomal RNA
Source: RNAcentral
AAUGAACGCUGGCGGCAUGCCUAACACAUGCAAGUCGAACGAGACCUUCGGGUCUAGUGGCGCACGGGUGCGUAACGCGUGGGAAUCUGCCCUUGGGUUCGGAAUAACAGUUAGAAAUGACUGCUAAUACCGAAUGAUGUCGUAAGACCAAAGAUUCAUCGCCCAGGGAUGAGCCCGCGUAGGAUUAGCUAGUUGGUGUGGUAAAAGCGCACCAAGGCGACGAUCCUAGCUGGUCUGAGAGGAUGAUCAGCCACACUGGGACUGAGACACGGCCCAGACUCCUACGGGAGGCAGCAGUGGGGAAUAUUGGACAAUGGGCGAAAGCCUGAUCCAGCAAUGCCGCGUGAGUGAUGAAGGCCUUAGGGUUGUAAAGCUCUUUUACCCGGGAUGAUAAUGACAGUACCGGGAGAAUAAGCUCCGGCUAACUCCGUGCCAGCCGCCGCAGUAAG